CCAGGAAAUGAAGAGGGAUUGUCAAAGCUGUAAUUGUUGGUUGACAUGGUGAAAUGUUUGGUGAUGGAAUCAUUUUAAAACACUAUUAUGGAUCAUGAUUAUGAAUUUGAUCAGAUUAUUUGUUUUCUCACCUGCAGUCCAAACCAUAUCUCCACAGUUGCCGUGACCCUUGCUCCAUCAAACAUCGAAAUAUAGCAGUAUUGCUGACAUUCAACACCGGCAGCUUUUCUUGGCAAAGUCUCAACAAAUAAAGAGGCAAAGUGUUAUCUUGGUUUGCACUCUGCGGUGGAACAGCAUACAACUGGAUUUCACACGUCUGUGUUAGUUCUGGAGAGAAUGCAUUUAAAGAGCACAGAGUGGAAAUGAGUCCAGAGUUGAACGGAUCCAUGUUAACGCGUUUCCAAGCAGCAAGAGGAUCUGACACCACUUUUGAUUGCUGGCAGCCUGGACAUUAAUGUAGGAUGGAAGGAACCAGACCAACCACCCAUCAGAUUGCAUCUGAUCAUGUGAUGUGAGCUCUGUCCACUGUUUUAUUCCCGGUGUUGGAUUCCGAGUGUGUGGAUGUGUAUUUCCUGGCUCCUUAAUGUCACUUCAAAAGAAGGAUGACAGGCUGAAUCAACCCACCUGGUGGUAUUUCAACAGCACAACAGGGGCUCAAACUCAAGACCCUAAGAUCUUCAGCCAGCCACCUCAGCUGUUAAGCCAACACCAGGCUUAGAUGAUAAGCUGAACUACUGCAACGGAAGUGACCAACACCAAGCGACAAGACAUAAAGACGAUUAUGAAGCUGCUGUGGCUGUUCCCUCUUCUUCUCAUUCCCUGCUCCACCUGGAGGGGGGG
This 840-nucleotide long non-coding RNA is filed under the name Eptatretus burgeri (inshore hagfish). RNAcentral describes it as "lncRNA (ENSEBUG00000017337.1)". The record is from RNAcentral. Lineage: Eukaryota; Metazoa; Chordata; Myxini; Myxiniformes; Myxinidae.